GGGCCACAAUGGGAGUGUUUUUCUGUUCCUUUGCAGCUGGGUCCCACCCCUAAAUUCACCCUGGUGUGGGCAUUCCUGUAGUGCCAGGCAGAAUGGAGGCCCUGCAGGAGACUGAGGAAGUGGAGCAAACACCAGAAGACGUGAUCUUCAGUGAUUUCCUCGAUGACCUGGAGGCAGAUGUAGCUGUGGAGGAAGCCUCUGUCACAAGUGAUGAAUCUACACUCACCUGUGCCCUGACCGCAAGCCGCUCUUCAUCCACCCGCUCAACGAGUGUGGUGUGCAGAAGUUUGUGAGCACAACAGUGAGGCCAACCCUGCUGCCUUACCCAGACAUGUACUACUGGUCAGGCUGUGCCAGCUUUGUCUGUGACUACCUCAUCAUGGAGCCCCUCAAGUGCCCAAUCACACCG
Molecule: long non-coding RNA, 409 nt
Filed under: Chloebia gouldiae (Gouldian finch)
Lineage: Eukaryota; Metazoa; Chordata; Aves; Passeriformes; Passeridae
Description: Erythrura gouldiae (Gouldian finch) lncRNA (ENSEGOG00005007167.1)
Source: RNAcentral